UUUUUAUCUAGCCGCCAUUAAACCUCUGCUUUGCGUUUCUUUCUCUCUUCUUCUAUACGAGAAAUCCAUUUUUUUGGUAGAAGACAAGUCGCCUCACUACUCCGUUAAGCCGAUUUUAUCGAAAGAUCUUCUCGAUCAGUUUCUUCAAUUUAAGAAGCCCUAGAAAAGCUGAUGAUUCGAUAAUGAAGUUUGAUUUCACUGUGCAACUUCGAUCUGUUUUGUAGGAGCUAGAUAGAAAAAUGUCGAGGCCGAUCAUGCUCGUCUUUCUUCUGGUUAUACUUAUAGUCACUUCUCAGUUUGAAUGGAGGCAACCACUUCUUGAGCUUGAUGCAGCUCCUAGCUUGUCUCAGAAACAUCAGCAGAUUGCUAAGAGGGAAGAAGCUGUCAAGGAGAAGAUCAUCUUGUCACAAGAGAGACAUAUCCAGAGGCUAAACGACCUUGUACGAAGUCUUCAAAUGCAGUUACAGCGAUGCAAAGGAGAGAACGAGACACGAAACGCCACUGAAACCUCCCAUCUAAACAAACAGUUUAUUGAGCUCGAGAGGAAACACAUCGUGGAAGACUAAUAUUUCCUCCGUUAUUACAACAGCUCUAAUAAAUAACACAAAUGCCACUAACAUGAAGACAUCAAACUAUCUCUCUUUAAAUCUCAAGAAACAAGAACAAGAACAAUUGUAGACUACUAGUCUUUACCAAGAAUAAUAUAUCAACAUACAUAGUACUCUUCUUGGAAGGCAAGGAACAUGAAUCAAGAAGCUGCGAGUAACCUUGAACUUGAUCUGAAACUAAAUAUUUCACCAUCGUUGGAUUCAUCUUUGCUCACUGAGAGUUCAUCGUCAUCGUUAUGCUCGGAGGAAGCUGAGGGUGGAGGAGGAGAAGCUAAAUCAAUGGUGGUCGUUGGUUGCCCUAAUUGCAUCAUGUACAUCAUCAUCUCUUUAGAAAGUGACCCUAGAUGCCCUAGAUGCAACAGCCAUGUUUUGCUUGAUUUUCUCACAGGAAACCAUAGCAAGAAGAACACUAAUUAAGAAAAAAAACAAAACAAAACAAAUUAAGAAUGUUCUUUUCCUUUCUUUCUUUUUUUAAAAAAAAAUUUGUUGCCACAUUUAUUGAUAGUUUGAAUUAAUCUACGAUGAACGGAUAUGUUCAUAAAUUGAAAUAUA
RNA transcript from Arabidopsis lyrata subsp. lyrata, 1160 nucleotides. RefSeq lists it as uncharacterized. The record is from RefSeq and is a predicted model, not a curated record. Lineage: Eukaryota; Viridiplantae; Streptophyta; Magnoliopsida; Brassicales; Brassicaceae. The transcript is spliced from 5 exons.